This 240-nucleotide unclassified non-coding RNA is filed under the name soil metagenome. RNAcentral's name for it is "partial contains 5.8S ribosomal RNA, internal transcribed spacer 2, and large subunit ribosomal RNA". The record is from RNAcentral.
AACCAUUCUCACCUGCGGCUAGACCUGCGGAGGGAUCAUUACUGAGUCACGUGCUCAAACAACCCUUCUGUGGACCUGAAAUAAAACCGUUGCCUCGGCGGGCGGUCCCCCCCAAACCAACCCCACGUGGUGGGUUAGGGGAGACCAGACAGUCCGGUACGCUUAAGGCGUCCGGCGCCAGCCGCUGGCCCCAAACAGUUAAACUCUAGUAAUCUUUACCUUCUGAAUUUCAAUAUUUAA